UAGGGAAUAUUGGUCAAUGGGUGAGAGCCUGAACCAGCCAUGCCGCGUGCAGGAAGAAGGCCUUCUGGGUUGUAAACUGCUUUUGCCAGGGGAUAAAAAUACCUUGCGAGGUAAAUUGAAGGUACCUGGUGAAUAAGCCACGGCUAACUACGUGCCAGCAGCCGCGGUAAUACGUAGGUGGCAAGCGUUGUCCGGAUUUAUUGGGUUUAAAGGGUGCGUAGGCGGCCCUGUAAGUCAGUGAUGAAAUAUCCCAGCUUAACUGGGAGGGUGGCAUUGAUACUGCGGGGCUAGAGUACAGAUGAGGUAGGCGGAAUUGACGGUGUAGCGGUGAAAUGCUUAGAUAUCGUCAAGAACACCUAUAGCGAAGGCAGCUUACUAGGCUGUAACUGACGCUGAGGCACGAAAGUGUGGGGAUCAAACAGGAUUAGAUACCCUGGUAGUCCACACUGUAAACGUUGAUUACUCGCUGUGUGCGAUAUACAGUACG
RNAcentral lists this ribosomal RNA (487 nucleotides) under uncultured Bacteroidota bacterium. Its description in RNAcentral is "bacterial SSU rRNA". It matches the Rfam family "Bacterial small subunit ribosomal RNA", at positions 355 to 843 of the family's 1533-position model. The record is from RNAcentral. Lineage: Bacteria; Pseudomonadati; Bacteroidota.